AUUGAACGCUGGCGGCAUGCUUUACACAUGCAAGUCGAACGGUAGCAGGCCUUCGGGUGCUGACGAGUGGCGAACGGGUGAGUAAUGCAUCGGAACGUGCCCAGAGGUGGGGGAUAACGCAGCGAAAGCUGUGCUAAUACCGCAUGUGAUCUGAGGAUGAAAGCGGGGGACCAAGCAGCAAUGUUUGGCCUCGCGCCUCUGGAGCGGCCGAUGUCAGAUUAGGUAGUUGGUGGGGUAAAGGCCUACCAAGCCGACGAUCUGUAGCUGGUCUGAGAGGACGACCAGCCACACUGGGACUGAGACACGGCCCAGACUCCUACGGGGGGCAGCAGUGGGGAAUUUUGGACAAUGGGCGCAAGCCUGAUCCAGCAAUGCCGCGUGCGGGAAGAAGGCCUUCGGGUUGUAAACCGCUUUUGUACGGAACGAAAAGGCUCUGGCUAAUACCUGGGGCUGAUGACGGUACCGUAAGAAUAAGCACCGGCUAACUACGUG
This 492-nucleotide ribosomal RNA is filed under the name uncultured bacterium. RNAcentral's name for it is "partial 16S ribosomal RNA". It matches the Rfam family "Bacterial small subunit ribosomal RNA", at positions 30 to 507 of the family's 1533-position model. The record is from RNAcentral.